CAGCCGCCGCGGUAAUACGUAGGUGGCAAGCGUUGUCCGGAAUUAUUGGGCGUAAAGGGCUCGCAGGCGGUUUCUUAAGUCUGAUGUGAAAGCCCCCGGCUUAACCGGGGAGGGUCAUUGGAAACUGGGAAACUUGAGUGCAGAAGAGGAGAGUGGAAUUCCACGUGUAGCGGUGAAAUGCGUAGAGAUGUGGAGGAACACCAGUGGCGAAGGCGACUCUCUGGUCUGUAACUGACGCUGAGGAGCGAAAGCGUGGGGAGCGAACAGGAUUAGAUACCCCAGUAGUCCCUGUCUCUUAUAA
RNAcentral lists this ribosomal RNA (301 nucleotides) under uncultured bacterium. RNAcentral's name for it is "partial 16S ribosomal RNA". It matches the Rfam family "Bacterial small subunit ribosomal RNA", at positions 509 to 809 of the family's 1533-position model. The record is from RNAcentral.